UAGCUCAGUGGUAAAGAAUCUGCCUGCAAUGCAGGAGACCUGGGUUCGAUUCCUGG
Molecule: transfer RNA, 56 nt
Filed under: Capra hircus (goat)
Lineage: Eukaryota; Metazoa; Chordata; Mammalia; Artiodactyla; Bovidae
Also listed under: 1 other name
Rfam family: tRNA
About the family: Transfer RNA (tRNA) molecules are approximately 80 nucleotides in length. Their secondary structure includes four short double-helical elements and three loops (D, anti-codon, and T loops).
Source: Rfam by way of RNAcentral